This 232-nucleotide ribosomal RNA is filed under the name uncultured bacterium. Its description in RNAcentral is "partial 16S ribosomal RNA". It matches the Rfam family "Bacterial small subunit ribosomal RNA", at positions 15 to 235 of the family's 1533-position model. The record is from RNAcentral.
GAUCAUGGCUCAGGACGAACGCUGGCGGCGUGCCUAAUACAUGCAAGUAGAACGCUGAAGAGAGGAGCUUGCUCUUCUUGGAUGAGUUGCGAACGGGUGAGUAACGCGUAGGUAACCUGCCUUGUAGCGGGGGAUAACUAUUGGAAACGAUAGCUAAUACCGCAUAACAAUGGAUGACACAUGUCAUUUUAUUUGAAAGGGGCAAUUGCUCCACUACAAGAUGGACCUGUCG